Molecule: ribosomal RNA, 2924 nt
Filed under: Klebsiella quasipneumoniae subsp. similipneumoniae
Lineage: Bacteria; Pseudomonadati; Pseudomonadota; Gammaproteobacteria; Enterobacterales; Enterobacteriaceae
Description: 23S ribosomal RNA
Rfam family: Bacterial large subunit ribosomal RNA
Source: RNAcentral
GGGUUGUGAGGUUAAGCGACUAAGCGUACACGGUGGAUGCCCUGGCAGUCAGAGGCGAUGAAGGACGUGCUAAUCUGCGAAAAGCGUCGGUAAGGUGAUAUGAACCGUUAUAGCCGGCGAUGUCCGAAUGGGGAAACCCAGUGUGAUUCGUCACACUAUCGUUAACUGAAUACAUAGGUUAACGAGGCGAACCGGGGGAACUGAAACAUCUAAGUACCCCGAGGAAAAGAAAUCAACCGAGAUUCCCCCAGUAGCGGCGAGCGAACGGGGAGCAGCCCAGAGUCUGAAUCAGCUUGUGUGUUAGUGGAACGGUCUGGAAAGUCCGACGGUACAGGGUGAUAGUCCCGUACACCAAAAUGCACAGGUUGUGAACUCGAAGAGUAGGGCGGGACACGUGGUAUCCUGUCUGAAUAUGGGGGGACCAUCCUCCAAGGCUAAAUACUCCUGACUGACCGAUAGUGAACCAGUACCGUGAGGGAAAGGCGAAAAGAACCCCGGCGAGGGGAGUGAAAAAGAACCUGAAACCGUGUACGUACAAGCAGUGGGAGCACCUUUAUGGUGUGACUGCGUACCUUUUGUAUAAUGGGUCAGCGACUUAUAUUCUGUAGCAAGGUUAACCGUAUAGGGGAGCCGCAGGGAAACCGAGUCUUAACUGGGCGUUAAGUUGCAGGGUAUAGACCCGAAACCCGGUGAUCUAGCCAUGGGCAGGUUGAAGGUUGGGUAACACUAACUGGAGGACCGAACCGACUAAUGUUGAAAAAUUAGCGGAUGACUUGUGGCUGGGGGUGAAAGGCCAAUCAAACCGGGAGAUAGCUGGUUCUCCCCGAAAGCUAUUUAGGUAGCGCCUCGUGAACUCAUCUUCGGGGGUAGAGCACUGUUUCGGCUAGGGGGUCAUCCCGACUUACCAACCCGAUGCAAACUACGAAUACCGAAGAAUGUUAUCACGGGAGACACACGGCGGGUGCUAACGUCCGUCGUGAAGAGGGAAACAACCCAGACCGCCAGCUAAGGUCCCAAAGUCAUGGUUAAGUGGGAAACGAUGUGGGAAGGCACAGACAGCCAGGAUGUUGGCUUAGAAGCAGCCAUCAUUUAAAGAAAGCGUAAUAGCUCACUGGUCGAGUCGGCCUGCGCGGAAGAUGUAACGGGGCUAAACCAUGCACCGAAGCUGCGGCAGCGACACUAUGUGUUGUUGGGUAGGGGAGCGUUCUGUAAGCCUGCGAAGGUGGCCUGUGAGGGUUGCUGGAGGUAUCAGAAGUGCGAAUGCUGACAUAAGUAACGAUAAAGCGGGUGAAAAGCCCGCUCGCCGGAAGACCAAGGGUUCCUGUCCAACGUUAAUCGGGGCAGGGUGAGUCGACCCCUAAGGCGAGGCCGAAAGGCGUAGUCGAUGGGAAACAGGUUAAUAUUCCUGUACUUGGUGUUACUGCGAAGGGGGGACGGAGAAGGCUAUGUUAGCCGGGCGACGGUUGUCCCGGUUUAAGCAUGUAGGCUGGUUAUCCAGGCAAAUCCGGAUAAUCAAGGCUGAGGUGUGAUGACGAGGCACUACGGUGCUGAAGUAACAAAUGCCCUGCUUCCAGGAAAAGCCUCUAAGCAUCAGGUAACAUCAAAUCGUACCCCAAACCGACACAGGUGGUCAGGUAGAGAAUACCAAGGCGCUUGAGAGAACUCGGGUGAAGGAACUAGGCAAAAUGGUGCCGUAACUUCGGGAGAAGGCACGCUGGUGUGUAGGUGAAGUCCCUGCGGAUGGAGCUGAGACCAGUCGAAGAUACCAGCUGGCUGCAACUGUUUAUUAAAAACACAGCACUGUGCAAACACGAAAGUGGACGUAUACGGUGUGACGCCUGCCCGGUGCCGGAAGGUUAAUUGAUGGGGUUAUCCGUAAGGAGAAGCUCUUGAUCGAAGCCCCGGUAAACGGCGGCCGUAACUAUAACGGUCCUAAGGUAGCGAAAUUCCUUGUCGGGUAAGUUCCGACCUGCACGAAUGGCGUAAUGAUGGCCAGGCUGUCUCCACCCGAGACUCAGUGAAAUUGAACUCGCUGUGAAGAUGCAGUGUACCCGCGGCAAGACGGAAAGACCCCGUGAACCUUUACUAUAGCUUGACACUGAACAUUGAGCCUUGAUGUGUAGGAUAGGUGGGAGGCUUUGAAGCGUGGACGCCAGUCUGCGUGGAGCCAACCUUGAAAUACCACCCUUUAAUGUUUGAUGUUCUAACGUUGGCCCCUGACCGGGGUUGCGGACAGUGUCUGGUGGGUAGUUUGACUGGGGCGGUCUCCUCCCAAAGCGUAACGGAGGAGCACGAAGGUUAGCUAAUCCUGGUCGGACAUCAGGAGGUUAGUGCAAUGGCAUAAGCUAGCUUGACUGCGAGCGUGACGGCGCGAGCAGGUGCGAAAGCAGGUCAUAGUGAUCCGGUGGUUCUGAAUGGAAGGGCCAUCGCUCAACGGAUAAAAGGUACUCCGGGGAUAACAGGCUGAUACCGCCCAAGAGUUCAUAUCGACGGCGGUGUUUGGCACCUCGAUGUCGGCUCAUCACAUCCUGGGGCUGAAGUAGGUCCCAAGGGUAUGGCUGUUCGCCAUUUAAAGUGGUACGCGAGCUGGGUUUAGAACGUCGUGAGACAGUUCGGUCCCUAUCUGCCGUGGGCGCUGGAGAAUUGAGGGGGGCUGCUCCUAGUACGAGAGGACCGGAGUGGACGCAUCACUGGUGUUCGGGUUGUCAUGCCAAUGGCACUGCCCGGUAGCUAAAUGCGGAAGAGAUAAGUGCUGAAAGCAUCUAAGCACGAAACUUGCCCCGAGAUGAGUUCUCCCUGAGACUUUAAGUCUCCUGAAGGAACGUUAAAGACGAUGACGUUGAUAGGCCGGGUGUGUAAGCGCAGCGAUGCGUUGAGCUAACCGGUACUAAUGAACCGUGAGGCUUAACCUUACAACGCCGAAG